CUUGAAACACGGACCAAGGAGUUCAUCGUGUACGCGAGUCUUUGGGUUAUUGAAACCUUUAGAGGCGAAAUGAAAGUAAACGAAAGUUAACUUUCUGAGGGAGGAUGGGCGUAAGCACCUUUUGGGCAACGCUCCGCACUCCCGGGGCGCUCUAAACUCCAUUGGAGUAGGGGCGCACCUAGAGCGUACGCGAUGAUACCCGAAAGAUGGUGAACUAUGCCUGGCCAGGACGAAGCCAGGGGAAACCCUGGUGGAGGUCUGCAGCGAUUCUGACGUGCAAAUCGAUCGUCGGAGCUAGGUAUAGGGGCGAAAGACCAAUCGAACCAUCUAGUAGCUGGUUCCCUCUGAAGUUUCCCUCAGGAUA
Molecule: ribosomal RNA, 364 nt
Filed under: Ptilocnemus femoralis
Lineage: Eukaryota; Metazoa; Arthropoda; Insecta; Hemiptera; Reduviidae
Description: eukaryotic LSU rRNA
Rfam family: Eukaryotic large subunit ribosomal RNA
Source: RNAcentral